CCUACGGGAGGCUGCAGUAGGGAAUAUUGCUCAAUGGGGGAAACCCUGAAGCAGCAACGCCGCGUGGAGGAUGAAGGUUUUCGGAUUGUAAACUCCUUUUGUUAGAGAAGAUAAUGACGGUAUCUAACGAAUAAGCACCGGCUAACUCCGUGCCAGCAGCCGCGGUAAUACGGAGGGUGCACGCGUUACUCGGAAUCACUGGGCGUAAAGAGCGCGUAGGCGGGAUAGCAAGUCAGAUGUGAAAUCCUAUGGGUUAAACAUAGAACUGCAUUUGAAACUGUUAUUCUAGAGUAUGGGAGAUGUAGGUGGAAUUCUAGGUGUAGGGGUGAAAUGCGUAGAGAUAAAGAAGAAUACUCAUGGCGAAGGCGACCUGCUAGAACAUAACUGACGCUGAUGGGCGAAAGCGUGGGGAGCAAACAGGAUUAGAUACCCGGGUAGUC
This 440-nucleotide ribosomal RNA is filed under the name uncultured bacterium. Its description in RNAcentral is "partial 16S ribosomal RNA". It matches the Rfam family "Bacterial small subunit ribosomal RNA", at positions 338 to 795 of the family's 1533-position model. The record is from RNAcentral.